RNAcentral lists this ribosomal RNA (635 nucleotides) under uncultured Marinobacter sp. RNAcentral's name for it is "bacterial SSU rRNA". It matches the Rfam family "Bacterial small subunit ribosomal RNA", at positions 870 to 1504 of the family's 1533-position model. Lineage: Bacteria; Pseudomonadati; Pseudomonadota; Gammaproteobacteria; Pseudomonadales; Marinobacteraceae. The record is from RNAcentral.
CGCCUGGGGAGUGCGGCCGCAAGGUUAAAACUCAAAUGAAUUGACGGGGGCCCGCACAAGCGGUGGAGCAUGUGGUUUAAUUCGACGCAACGCGAAGAACCUUACCUGGCCUUGACAUCCAGAGAGCUUUCCAGAGAUGGAUUGGUGCCUUCGGGAACUCUGAGACAGGAGCUGCAUGGCCGUCGUCAGCUCGUGUCGUGAGAUGUUGGGUUAAGUCCCGUAACGAGCGCAACCCCUAUCCCUGGUUGCUAGCAGGUAAUGCUGAGAACUCCAGGGAGACUGCCGGUGUCAAACCGGAGGAAGGUGGGGAUGACGUCAGGUCAUCAUGGCCCUUACGGCCAGGGCUACACACGUGCUACAAUGGCGCGUACAGAGGGCUGCCAACUCGCGAGAGUGAGCCAAUCCCUUAAAACGCGUCGUAGUCCGGAUCGGAGUCUGCAACUCGACUCCGUGAAGUCGGAAUCGCUAGUAAUCGCGAAUCAGAAUGUCGCGGUGAAUACGUUCCCGGGCCUUGUACACACCGCCCGUCACACCAUGGGAGUGGAUUGCACCAGAAGUAGUUAGUCUAACCUUCGGGAGGACGAUUACCACGGUGUGGUUCAUGACUGGGGUGAAGUCGUAACAAGGUAACCGUA